CCGUUCUUCAGAGAGCUACAGCCCAAGCCACCCCAGGAAUUUCAAAUCAACGGUCACAGAAUGGAACCCAGGAGGAGUUGCGUCUUGUGGGACCAAAUGGACAGAAACAUACACAGCCCAGAUGCAACUGAAGGCCAUUUUCUGCUUCUCUAUACAGAUAAGAACGCUUCGGAGUUUUUAUGAAAACCCACAGUUCCGUCUGUCUCGUGAGAAGCGCUGCCUUUACAUUAAAAACAAAAAUGAACCAGGCGGAGGAGGUGUCUGGGGAGCCUGAUACAGAUCAGGAAACGGGGUUCAGGGAGUGACCUGACUUGAUUGGAGAUUAACCUCAAAACUGUCACUUCGAAUUACUGCUUUUUAAAACAGUGUAAACAUUCACUGUUGCUGUGAGGAUCCACAACGUUUUCUUACAAAGAGAUUUCAUCUGCAGGAUUUCAUCUGCAGGUUUCCUCUACUCUGAUGUGAUAGGAAAGCCAACAAUAAACGCACAGCUCAGAUUAAAACUGCCUCCGUGCAACUUUGGAGGAACGGAAUCUUUAAUAAGAGUGAGCUGAUUGGCAUGUUUUAAGAAAAGCAAUUAUCUUUUCAUGAAGGGGGAAGAAAAGCAAAUUAGUCAAAAUGGCCAGCUUCUACUUGAACGCCGUGGGCUCUCUCCACCUGUUCUGAGCAGCCUGCAACAGGACGCACGAAGGGAGAACACUGGGUCCCACGCCCUGUCCCGGGCUGGCACGGGAAGCACGCUCAUGGCAGCUUUUCAUUGGCUCUUGUCUAGCGAACAUUUAUUCUGCAGGAAAUGCACACACACUCAUUGGCCAUCUGCACACCAGACGUGGCUUCCUUCGGUUCCUCUCUACGGCCUGCAACUCUGUGAAGAUCUGAGCUGCGUCCACCGAGCAGGGUGCUUCCAUGGUGGAUUUUAAAGCCGGCAGGAUUCCCAUGUUGUGGGGUAUGCAAUUGCUCUGAUUCAAUCCGCUAUACAGGCUAACCACGUCCUUUCAAAAAUCUAACAAAGCAAAAAGCAUCUGUGAAUUUGGUUGCAAUCAUAGCUGAGCCCUCCUCUGUUUAUCUACCCAGGAUGAUAAAACCUCCAGGUGCCGGUUCUAGUUUAUUUUUCUUUCCUUUAACUCAUAAUGCAAACACACUGAAUUGAUGGUUGUAAGAAAGUAGUAUCUUUGAGGUUUUAAGGCACUCUUAAAAUAAAAACCAGGAAAUUCCAAGAUCUGAGUGCUCAUAAACUACAUACGUGUACAAUUUUUAUCCUUGAAUGAAUUUUCUAUGCUCCUAGAGCGAGAAUACAGAUUAAGGCUCCACUGAAACCAAAUCCAGCAAAGUCGGAAAGUAGUAUUGUCUUUUGCCACAAGAGGGGGCUAGAGAAUUCCGAUCGCUUCCAAGGUCUAUAAAACCCUUUUAACUGCUACUUUAUAGACACUCAAUUACAACAGGCCAUAACGCAUUAAAGCAUUAAAACACACAUCCAUUCCAGCAUAUGCCAAGCAGGCACUGGGGUCGGCAGCCGAUCCUAACGCCGGCGUCAAGUAAACUCUCGGGGGCUUCCAGGGCUUCCCAGUUUCCUCCCUGGCACUGCCCUCCCCAAAACGAGGGCCCCCCAGUUAGAUGACCCCCUUGGAGUGGCACAUUCCCAGGAAUCUGCAGAGUGUGGCGGGGUGGCACGAGGUAGAGAUGGCGAGGAUGGCAGUUUAUGGAGCUUGGAAGCGCAGGGAGGCCAGGUUCCCUGGGCACUGGCAAGCGUCUUUAGGGGUGAUGAUGGUCAGAGCUCGGGACCCAGCUCACUCUGUGUUUUAGCAUUAAGAAAAAGCUAAGAUCACAUGGUGAAAUAACGUGAUUAUAAAAUUAUGCCUCCUCACGGCUCCCCAUGCAAAAAUACUACAGCACACCAGCUACGUUCUAGCCGCUUAGAGAAUUGCUCGGCAAAUUGGAUAAAGGCUUUUAUAAGUGAAAACUUCCCCGGGAAGAAAAACUCCCCCAUAAAUCUCAAUCUUUUACAAGCUAGAGGAUCCAUUCUGCAUAAUCUUUCUCUCCUCCUAGACGCAUGUAUCUGGGUUUAAUCCACUUAGGGGCCAACAUGAAGAAGAGGCUGUCAUCAAAGUGGGAAAGCGGCCUGGAGCAGGGGUCCAUGCCUCCAGGACUCGAGGGACGACAGGCUGACGGUUAAAAUCACCCCAAGACCCCGAAAUCUUAGAGCUUCAGAAGGGGAGCACCCAAGGUAACACAGCAAAGCUCAGCGAGAGUCAGGACUCCAAGCAAAUGCUGCCUUUAACUUGGCGUUUGUAGACCAUAAGCGCAGGGAAUCAGGCAUGGUAGGCAAGAUCUUCCGAGCAACAGCAGGCCACACGGACACCUGUGAUAAUCACCCACUCGAACACACCGGCAUUAAACUUCCUGAAUUCAGAGUUUGCACUCGAGGCCUUCUAUAAAAGUUUACGCUCACCUGCCAGGUCACUCAUUUAAAAACUGACCCUCUGCACUUAAAGCCCACCGCUGUUACGUCAGUUCCACAGUGGUGUUGCCCCUUUCAGAGGGUGGACCUUUAUUCCUGGCCCCCAGUCUGGAAAUGACUUCCAAAAACACUCUGGCCAGAAGCCAGAUCAAAUAUUAUUUUAACUUUCUUCCAAGCUACGGCUGGUCCAGCCAGUGAGUCUUUGCUACAAACCCCUCCUGGUCACCAGCGUGCGAUCACGCACUCUGUCCUUCCCCGUGUGGGUUCCCACGUCUCCCCUCUCCAGCGAGAGUGUUCGUUCACUGAGGAAUCACGUCUUCCUCCUCUUUUGUAUCCUCCAAAAUCACUAAACUUGUGAUCACACAAGGGCAUUCAAUGGAGGUAUUCAGUAACUAACUUUAUUAGCAGAAUAUGGAAAUCUAUAGCAUGGAUGAGCAGGCCCAAAAGAUAGCUAAUUAGUCCUGCGUCCAGCCCAUCGAGGGACUUGUUAGGGGGCACUCAUAACUGUAACCGGUAGAAUGGACAGAGCUUCGGGAAGGGGCAUUCCCUCGAGGUGGCCUGGGGUUUUGUUGCAUGUUGGCUGUAGGACCCAGACUCGCUGAGUCUUCGAAAUUAUCAAAAUCAGCAUCUUUGGGAAACAGAGACAAGAGGGGCGGAUGUCCAAGUUCCUCCCAGCCCAGAAGCCAAAGUCCAGUGCUGGGCAAGGGGCGGGGUUUACUCGGGUCCCUGAGGCUGGCUGUGUCAUGCCGAAGGGUGAAAAAUGGGUCAUUCAUCGACAGAUAAUUGUUAUUGUUUUUUAAUUCUUCACAAAACAUGUAUAAUCCUUGGCGAUCAUCUGUUUAAGUUAUAUAAAUUACUGUCAACUGCGAAACCCGGAUUGUCAUCUUCCACUGUGAUUUAUACCAGACUGUAUAAACGACAUGGUGUCUUAGAUCUAAUAAGACAUUCAUCUUCAUGAAGGAGGCCACUGCGACGCUGAGUGACAGUUUACUUACCCCUGUCACCGUUAACACGGAAUCUUGAAUUCCUCCCAGGGACCUCAAGUUGGAUGGAGUCACCCGAAGCCAACAAAAACUCGCUCAGAAAUCCACCGCGCUGCUAAUGUGGUGUUUCACUGCGAAUUUUGUUCUUGGGCUCCCCAAACAUACACAAGGACCAGUUUCAUGUUGCUCUGGAGUGUGAGCCUCCAAUACACUCGUGUAACUUCCCCUGGGGUAGAUGGUGGUCAUCACCUUCCUAAAGAGACUGUGUCUCCAGCUAGCCACAA
Long non-coding RNA from Cavia porcellus (domestic guinea pig), 3725 nucleotides. RefSeq lists it as uncharacterized. The transcript is spliced from 3 exons. The record is from RefSeq and is a predicted model, not a curated record. Lineage: Eukaryota; Metazoa; Chordata; Mammalia; Rodentia; Caviidae.